Molecule: long non-coding RNA, 1174 nt
Organism: Papaver somniferum (opium poppy)
Lineage: Eukaryota; Viridiplantae; Streptophyta; Magnoliopsida; Ranunculales; Papaveraceae
Exons: 4
Source: RefSeq, a predicted model, not a curated record
AAUGUAAAAGAAGUUUUCUCCUCAAAGUCUAGAUCCAGCAAUUCUUCCUCGCUUCAUACCUAUUUUAAGAAAAAAAAAUUUCUCCUCCAUCUGAUAUUCUGGCAGAAAAUUAGGGGUUAUUCAGAGAAGAUUUAUUCUGCAAUCUUGGAAAUAUUUCUGCAUCGCAGGAUGAAAAUCUAUGUAAACAAAAAUCUAUUAAGAAGGAAUGGAAGAAGAACAUCCAGUGGUGGUAAUAAUCUCGGUCAAUUUUGUUUUUCGAUUUGAACCCUAACAAUUUCAUUUUGGGCGGGAUGAAAUCAAACGAAAAUUCUUUUGGGAGGGAUUCCUGCUUGGCGUUUUGGAACAACUAUAAGUUCAACCCUAAGCAAUUCAGAGAUGUGAAGAGAUAUAUCUUUUUUGGGGGAUUAGUAGUUCAGAGAUCAAAAAACAUCCAAGCCUACACAACACAAACUUCUAGCAACAUGUAGCUUAAAAUUCGAUAACAGCAGUUGCCUAUUCGAAAUGGAGGAGCUGUUACCCAUCUUUUUUUCUAGAAACAAAUGGGAUACAGUGAAGGAUGUUAUCUCCCUGGAUGGCAACUAGUCUGAAUAGUAAGGAAGUUGCGGCUUUUUAACAACUUGGAUGACUGAGCUUCUUCUCAAUGCAUCGACAGUUUGCAUAGUUCUAGAGAUGUUCCCCCAAAAGUUGAAUUGUUGGGCAGAGUUUAAGAAUUCUUUGCGACUCUAACAAUGUUGCAGGCUAAAGGAAUUAAUGUUCCCAACAAUUUAGGGUAUUGGGAUCCCAGCGACGCCUUCGUCCUUUGGUCUUUUGCUGUUUGAGGAACUUCAGGAAAAAGGCUGUUGCACUUGCAAGUUACUGAUGGAUGACCACUACGACUUCAUGAUUGAGGAAAUCUUUGUUCCAAGUGCGAUGUUGUGACAUAGAGAUGAUGUUGUGCUUGGGGAUGUUUCAAGAGGUGAGUUUACCAAGUGGCCCAAGACCUAUGCAACCACUGUAGCCUGUAGGAGAGCGAUCAAGUUAGAGUUGCAGUGACAGCAGAUUGAUCACUUUUUAAAUUUUCAAGAUGUAACUUGGAGUUGGAGUUGUUAGGAUAUGUCUUCCAUUUAUGUUCGAAUAUUCUAUUUUCUUUAGAAAAUAGUUAUAAAGUUAAUUAAUAAAGUCAAUUUGUUUAAUA